RNA transcript from Columba livia (rock pigeon), 3149 nucleotides. It is a transcript of the gene named glucagon like peptide 1 receptor, with no coding region annotated. NCBI's taxonomy places the organism in Eukaryota, Metazoa, Chordata, Aves, Columbiformes, Columbidae. The record is from RefSeq and is a predicted model, not a curated record. The transcript has 14 exons.
CGCACCUGGGCCGGCCCCGUCCCCGCCUCCGCCGCCGCUACAAAAGCGGCCGCCGGGGCGCCUGCCGCCGCGCUUCUGUCCCCUGCCGCGGAACCUCCGCGGGAGCCGGAGCCUCGCUGGGCCCCCGCGCAUGGGGGGCUGCCCCGGACAUGCCCUUCUCCCCGCCGGCGGCGCCGCUCGGCUUCGCCGUCCUGCUGCUGGCCGCUGCGGGAAGGUCCCUCCCCGUCAGGCGGAGUUCAGAUGGGUCCCUCUCUGGGGUUAUGCAGAAGUGGAAGGAGUAUCAGCUCCAAUGCCUGAAAUAUUUGUAUGAGACACCCCCCAUUGUGGCAGAAGGCAAGUUCUGCAACAGAACAUUUGACAACUAUGCUUGCUGGCCGGAUGGACUGCCUGGCACAUACGUGAAUGUCAGCUGCCCCUGGUAUCUCCCCUGGGCUAAUGCAGUGCUGCAUGGGCAGGUGUACCGGUUUUGCACCCUGGAAGGGACAUGGCUGCUGAAAGAGAAUUCGACGCUUCCCUGGAGGAACCUGUCUGAAUGUGAGGCCUCUGACCAGGAUGCACCAGAAGAACAGCUCCUGAAUUUAUCCAUCAUAUACACCAUUGGAUAUGCUCUUUCCUUCUCUGCCCUUGUAAUAGCAACUGCCAUUCUUCUUGGAUUCAGACAUCUGCAUUGCACAAGGAAUUAUAUUCACCUGAACCUCUUCACCUCUUUUAUCCUCCGGGCUAUAUCCGUCUUCAUUAAAGACUCAGUGGUGAAGUGGAUGUACAGCACAGCCACACAAGAGCACCAGUGGGAAGGACUUAUCUCCUUUCAGGAAUCACUCAGCUGCCGCUUGGUCUUUGUGAUGAUGCAGUAUUGCGUGGCUGCAAACUACUACUGGUUGCUGGUGGAAGGCAUGUACCUGUACACACUGCUGGUACUUUCAGUCUUUUCUGAGCAGAGAAUUUUUCGGCUCUAUCUCUGCAUUGGCUGGGGUGUGCCAAUGCUGUUUGUUAUCCUCUGGGGAACUGUCAAGUACCUUUAUGAAGAUGAGGGUUGCUGGAGCAGAAACUACAACAUGAAUUACUGGCUGAUCAUCAGACUGCCCAUUCUCAUCGCCAUUGGGGUAAAUUUCCUGAUCUUUAUCAGAGUUAUAUGCAUCAUCAUCUCCAAACUACAGGCUAAUUUGAUGUGCAAAACUGACAUAAAAUGCAGGCAGUGUCUCCAGAGCCAAUGCAACAUCAGCCUCCUGCUUCUACCUCUAUCUCAGACAGGUGGUGGUGGAGCAGAGCCUCCAUCACAAGACUUGCUGGCUGGCCAAGUCUACAUUGACUCUAAUCCCGCUGCUGGGGACCCAUGAGGUCAUCUUUGCCUUUAUUACUGAUGAGCAUGCCAGAGGGAUGCUGCGCUUUGUGAAGCUUUUUACUGAACUCUCCUUUGCUUCUUUCCAGGGGCUGAUGGUUGCAGUUCUCUACUGUUUCAUCAAUAAUGAGGUUCAGAUGGAGUUUCGGAAAACCUGGGAGCGCUGGAGAUUGGAACAUUUGUAUGUCCAGAGAGACAACAGUAUGAAACCUCUGAAGUGUCCGGCCAACAGCAUCAGCAGUGGAGGCACAGUAGGCAGUAGUGUCUAUGCUGCCACUUGUCAGGCCACAUUCAGCUAAGAUUUCUGCAGGUGAACGAGACUGAGAGCAAUGAACUGUAUAAUAUACCUGAAAACCCUUAAAUACCCAAGCAAGUGGCUUAAGUAUGGCAUCUCCAGCAAGAAACUUAAGCAUAUGCUGCUCAUUGCCUGCAGGCUGUUGGACAAAGGUUUCUAGGGAAAGCAAUCUGCUAAUGUAAUCAACACAUCAGAGGAAAAAUUGAUCACAUCUAAAGUAAGUUAAAAGAGUUCCUUCCUAUUUGCACACAAGGCCUCCAGGUGUCCAAAAGUUAAGCAUAGCAUUGAUCCAGUCUGAGACCACAGGGUCAAUGGCUUAUUACUGUUGAGUGGGUGAGCUGAGUGAUUGAAUGAUUAAAUUACAAGGAUACAAAAUAUGAUUAUUGCCAAAAAAUACAUUUAAGCUUUUAUGGGGUAAGGCAAGGUGUUAUCAGCACUUUUACAAAAAAAAAAAAGAAAUCUCAGUGGGACACAACUUGCGUUUUAGGGAAGAAUCGGUUUUGUACUAAGAGUUUCCCAGAGUUAAAGUUGAAAAUAUGCUCACCUGUUUUCUGGGUGGGUGAAAAACAGUAAUGUGAAGGUCUAUCAAUACAGCAGGUAGUGUGGUGUCACUCGGAAAAAAAAUAAACCCAGUAUCUGGUAGGGGCUUCUUCUGCUAUUAAUAGGUGCAUAUUAGGUCUGUUGACACAGAUGGAAAUAUCCAUUGAAUACACAGCCCUUCCAUUUUUAUACAGUACUCUGCCUCUGCAUUUGGCACACAGGUGUUAACAGGGACAGGACAAUGACUUGUACUUCAAGAGGACAUUAUCUUCCUAAGCUAUACUCCGCUUCUUGUGGGUACAAACACACAGAAGCCAGCUUGUGGCCACAGCUGCUCUUACCAGACGUCACCAACUUGGAAAAUUGGGUAGUUCACAGUGUGGGCUCACUUUUCUGUCUCCUCCAGCCUUGUUCGUUCUCUCCCGGCGGGAGACACCCGCAGGGGCUGCACUCCCGGUGGCGGGACAGCAGCUGUGGCGGAGGCGGAGGGUUCAGCACCGCGGACAGCGCCUGGCCCCCGCCCGUGGGCUGCCCACCGCCUCCGCCACAGCCUGCGGCCAGCAGCGGGGUUCAAACAAUCCCCUCAAACGCCGUCCUAAACUCAACAGGCUUUUGUCUGUUCGUUUAAAACUGCGAAGGCUCUUGCAAUGAAUUCAUCUACACCGCUCAUUAUGUUACCCACCCUGAUGUUUACUGGAGUUGCUGGGGAAAAACAGAGGUAUACUUACCAGCAGCACGUGACCAAUUGCAUCACUUAAUAACAUACUUUGCCUGUCUUUACUUGGCUGUUAUUCAGGCUCCAUUUACAGCAAAGAGGCAAGAUGCCAAAACUAGCUCUGAGAAUAUCCCCAUCUGUAGACAUCCUGUAAUAAGUAACUUCCAUGGUGUAGCAGUUAGACUACUCAGCAGAGAUUAAAAAAAAAAAACACAACACAACCCUGAUUUUUCAAAUCUUUCUUUGCACUUGCAUUCACA